Larimichthys crocea (large yellow croaker) is the source of this 92-nucleotide non-coding RNA. Lineage: Eukaryota; Metazoa; Chordata; Actinopteri; Sciaenidae. The record is from Rfam.
GGCUCUGUGGCGCAAUGGAUAGCGCAUUGGACUUCUAGAUAUGUACAAGGGAAGUAAUUCAAAGGUUGUGGGUUCGAGUCCCACCAGAGUCG